GACGAACGCUGGCGGCGUGCUUAACACAUGCAAGUCGAACGGAAAGGCCCUGCUUUUGUGGGGUGCUCGAGUGGCGAACGGGUGAGUAACACGUGAGUAACCUGCCCUUGACUUUGGGAUAACUUCAGGAAACUGGGGCUAAUACCGGAUAGGAGCUCCUGCUGCAUGGUGGGGGUUGGAAAGUUUCGGCGGUUGGGGAUGGACUCGCGGCUUAUCAGCUUGUUGGUGGGGUAGUGGCUUACCAGGGCUUUGACGGGUAGCCGGCCUGGGAGGGUGACCGGCCACAUUGGGACUGAGAUACGGGCCAGACUCCUACGGGAGGCAGCAGUGGAAAAUUUUGCACAAUGGGCGGAAGCCUGAUGCAGCAACUCCGCGUGCGGGAUGACUGCCUUCGGGUUGUAAACCGCUUUCGCCUGUAACGAAGCGUGAGUGACGGUAAUGUGUAAGGAAGCACCGGCUAACUACGUG
Molecule: ribosomal RNA, 468 nt
Filed under: uncultured bacterium
Lineage: Bacteria
Description: partial 16S ribosomal RNA
Rfam family: Bacterial small subunit ribosomal RNA
Source: RNAcentral